Long non-coding RNA from Numida meleagris (helmeted guineafowl), 1381 nucleotides. RefSeq lists it as uncharacterized. The transcript is spliced from 6 exons. Lineage: Eukaryota; Metazoa; Chordata; Aves; Galliformes; Numididae. The record is from RefSeq and is a predicted model, not a curated record.
GUGACGGCGGGGCGCCACUUUAUUUUUUCGGCGUGUAUAACCCGAGGUGACGGCAGGGCGCCACUUUAUUUUCAGCGUGUAAAACCCAAGGUGACGGUGGGGCGCUGACCAUGGAUUCUGUAAUUAAGGUGAUCCGGCACGUAUACUCUUCUGAAUAAGAGUUCAACAAGCCACAGUACAUCAUUUGGUCUCAAUGAAACAACCAAAGCCUGUCCAUUACCCACAAGGAAUGCAGCACUGAGACAACACAGAGAGAAAGAGGAAGAAAAUUCAUGAACCAGCAAACAUAUUCACAUGCCAAAGCUAACUCGCCGUGUCACUCUGAUACUGUAUAUAUUUGCCUCCCAUCUGCUAUGUGCUCUGUCAAUUUUUUGUAGAUGAGCCAUAUGUUUCAGAGCCUUCUCUGAAGCAUCCAGCUUAUCUUUGAAUGCUGAAAUAUCAGACUUAGUGCAUCUGUAAACAAGAAACUCACUGGAGCACUCUUAGCCUUUUGACUGGGGCCAUCAUUUUAUUAAGUUUUAGUUUGCACAGAAGGAAAGCUCUCCACUGGCAUAGAAACCUAAAUCUAAAGAUACAAUGCAACUUUGCUGGGAAGUCACAGUGCUGUCUGAAGGUUAGCAGAGCCCAACUUCACACAUCUUGACCGCGUUUGUGAGCAGCCCAGACACCAGCUGCCUCAGCUGUGCACAGUGCCAAGGCCAUUUUGUCUACGCAAAAUCAGCCAGCAAAAUGUCACCUCAGAGAGAUGGCAUGCAACAGAAGACAGCAGACCCACUGUGUUUUGGUCCUUCAAUAUUUUAAAACAUGAAGUAAUAAAAUGUCUCCAGCUCUCGGGGACAUGAAGGAUGUUCACUGCAUAUGCUGUGCCAGGCUGUUGGAUACCCUCACAAUGGGCCAAGGUGCUUUACUGCCAGGAAAUAGAGUGCCAGUCCCACACACCUAAGAAUGUUGAUUUUGAUAUGCUGGCUCAACAUGAACAAUUACUAUGGUCGAACUAAAAGACCCUCUAAUAAAACUAUGUUUUUUCCUUUGACGGAAGUGUUUUCUAAACUGUUCGACACUUUCUAGAGGUCUCAGCAUUAACAAAGAGAAUCUAACCCAUGAAAUACGACAAGGAAUACAUGAUGAAAAAAUUUCUUUAAGAUUUUCUUUUUAUCAGUUCAUAGUAUGCCACAAUAAAAGACCUUCUUGUUAAGGGAAGAAAAAAAAUCUAAUCAUAGACAUAGUUAACACAAAAAAUUCAGCAGUCGCAGAUCAGCACUUACUGCUCUAAUGCGUGCAAUCUCUUCCAUAGAGCCAUAUCUCAGAGAAAAAAAAAACACAAGGAGAAUCAAAAAUUACAGGUAAAAUAAUAUAGCAGUUACUAAUACUAAGUACAAUA